Molecule: long non-coding RNA, 205 nt
Filed under: Monodelphis domestica (gray short-tailed opossum)
Lineage: Eukaryota; Metazoa; Chordata; Mammalia; Didelphimorphia; Didelphidae
Description: lncRNA (ENSMODG00000048719.1)
Source: RNAcentral
GCCUAUAGAACAGCUGCUGCAGCCCACUGAAAGCUUCAAACCGAGACCCGGGUGCCUGAACCUUCCUUCUGAUAAGCUGCAGAGCAGGGAACACAGGAAGCGGCAUAGUGGAGGAACAGGGCCACAGACUUGGAGCAAAAAUGCCUCAGUUCAAGAUUCCAAUGGAAUAUUUCCUAGCUGGGUGACUAAGGAAAAUCUUGCAGAC